UAUUGCACAAUGGGGGAAACCCUGAUGCAGCGACGCCGCGUGAGCGAAGAAGUAUUUCGGUAUGUAAAGCUCUAUCAGCAGGGAAGAGAAUGUCGGUACCUGACUAAGAAGCACCGGCUAAAUACGUGUCAGCAGCCGCGGUAAUACGUAUGGUGCAAGCGUUAUCCGGAUUUACUGGGUGUAAAGGGAGCGUAGACGGAUGGGCAAGUCUGAUGUGAAAACCCGGGGCUCAACCCCGGGACUGCAUUGGAAACUGUUCAUCUAGAGUGCUGGAGAGGUAAGUGGAAUUCCUAGUGUAGCGGUGAAGUGCGUAGAUAUUAGGAGGAACACCAGUGGCGAAGGCGGCUUACUGGACAGUAACUGACGUUGAGGCUCGAAAGCGUGGGGAGCAAACAGG
Molecule: ribosomal RNA, 397 nt
Filed under: uncultured bacterium
Lineage: Bacteria
Description: bacterial SSU rRNA
Rfam family: Bacterial small subunit ribosomal RNA
Source: RNAcentral